CUCCUUCCGUGUGCCUGGAGAAAGGCCAUUCUGUCCCCGCUGGCCAUCCUUGAAGACCUGCCACCUUUCCGCGGACACGAGCAGCCAAGCGGAGCCCUGGCCACGGAAACUUCAACCACAGACACCCGGGCGCAGGCUUUGCCAUCGAACAACUUGAGCACCAACGAUCGGGUAGGUGGCUGCCAGCCUCUCCUAUCAUCAGGGACUGAAACGGGGUUUGGCCUCCCGACACCGAUGCCAGCAGCCCACGGUGACAGCCGGGUGCCUCCCUGGCUCUCUGCCCCUUCGCUUUCAGCGACAGCACCCGGCCUCCCAACCUGCAUCUAUCACACGGACACAUUGAUUUCCUCUCCAGAGAAACAGAUAUUUCCUCCCUCCUGCCGAGAAGAUAAGUCUGACGGGUUUUAAUCAAAUGUGGAUGUUCACAAAAAUGCCCCCCGUAAUGCAGGAGUUGUUUCGGGGGGCCCUAGUUCAUCGGGAGGAAACACUUGCCUUAAAACACACACAUGAUCACAGACACACACACACACACGCACACACACGCACACACAGCCGUGAAGCCUGGGAGCUGGUUAAUAUUUGUCAAGCCACAGAGUGUGAUUGGUAGUGACACCAGUGAUUAUCGGUCCCCAUUAAAAUUUCCGCUGAAACGAUUCUGCCCAGCUUCUCUGUUUUCACCCCGAGAAGCUGCAUUGUUGGGACUCUGCCUUUAAAAUGAUGUUUUUCCUGAGAUGAAAGUUGGCUCUCAGGGGAAACAGCACUUGAGAGGUGAUCCCACCAAUCAGGCUCCUGCGACUGUGUUUUUGCUCAGCGCGUGGCUGUGUGCGGUGCAUUUAUAUUAUUUUAUAAACUCAUAUACUGAGUGGCAUUUAUAUUAUUUUAUACAUUUCUAUGCUGAGUAGCUGCUAUUUUUUUCAGUGUGUCUAUGGAGAGCCACAUUGUGCGUAAUUUUUUUUCUUAAUUUAGAUAGACAUUUAAACAGAUUUUUCUUAAUUUUUUUUUAUAUCAAAAAAGGCUUUGGAGGAGAGACUUAAUCGCCUUCAGGUUUCUCAUCCUAGGCCGAGCUCAUUGUUAAUGGUACUUUUCUAAAUAUUUCAGUUUGGAGCAAGGUUGUGUAUUUUUGUUUCUCACUAUAGGUAGGACUGAUGGCAUUUUCAUGACAGUGAAGAGCUUGGAUGUCUCUUGUUCAUGCCUGGUGGCAAUUUCCUGCCCAGGCAUUUUGGCAAAAUAUAGUUUAUUUCAGCUAAUUUUCAGAGGUGUGAAAAAAACCCCAAAACGAACCCAGGUCCCUGGAGGACGGGAGUGUGGAGACAGUUCUCACCGACCGUCAGUCCAAUCCCGCCUUGAAAGGCCCAUCUUUUCAACCAAGACCUUUUCAUUCUCUCCUUAUAACUUUGAAUAUUAUAUUAAGAUGUAUACGAUUCAAGAAGAACUGUAUCUGGAAAGAAAAGCCUUGAAAGGAAGUUAUUUUAAUAAUCCUACAUACAUCGCGUAUCCACAUAUAGGAGUCCCUUGCACGUCAAUGGGCAAAAAUAGAGAAUUAAUUCCCUUUUAAACCGUGAGCUUCAAAUAUUUCCCUUGCGGGAGCUUCCGCUGACAUUUUCAAGUUUGUAAAAACUAGAAAACUUUAUUAUUUAUAUGCUAAUGCGCCCUGCAGCGCGUUAUUGGGGUGAUUUUGACAACCGCUUGGUCUAAGGACGCUCUGACGACGCUGAUAUUUGUCCUUGAUGUGCCAUUAAGCUCGGAUUUUAUUUUUUUUCCUUCUGAAAAGCAGAGGGCAUGGCAAAGGGAGGAGAUAAAGAGAGAAGAAAUCAGAAUUUCCGCGCGAGAGCCCUGUUAGGAAAUGCCGGCGUUUCAAUGGAAACGGAUAGUGGGGAAAAGGGCAGCAUCUUUAUCUGGCUCGCGGUGGAGCCCAAAGACGUGGCCUCCGACGGUGCGUUCGCAUCUGUAGCUUUUAUAUCCACGUGGAGCAUUUAAGGCACAGUGGUUUGUUUUUUUUUUCAUAUUUUCUGGCUACCCGAAAGCAACCAGCUCCCGCACGAAGUAAAAUAACAGCAGGCAACGCAAAGGGGACCUUGAAGAAGUUGGAAAGGAAGCCAAGCGCUUACUAAAGGAGAUUAAGACGCCAAGUGGACACACCGGCCAACGCGACAGUCACCACAGCGGCCCUGGCCGGGAGCUCGGUCCGUUAGAGGGUCGUCUCUAGAC
Non-coding RNA from Miniopterus natalensis, 2208 nucleotides. The record is from RefSeq and is a predicted model, not a curated record. Lineage: Eukaryota; Metazoa; Chordata; Mammalia; Chiroptera; Miniopteridae.